RNAcentral lists this transfer RNA (75 nucleotides) under Gemmatimonadales bacterium. RNAcentral's name for it is "tRNA-Val". It matches the Rfam family "tRNA". From Rfam's summary of the family: Transfer RNA (tRNA) molecules are approximately 80 nucleotides in length. Their secondary structure includes four short double-helical elements and three loops (D, anti-codon, and T loops). The record is from RNAcentral. Lineage: Bacteria; Pseudomonadati; Gemmatimonadota; Gemmatimonadia; Gemmatimonadales.
GGGCGGUUAGCUCAGCCGGUUCAGAGCGCCUGUCUUACACACAGGAGGUCGGGGGUUCGAAUCCCUCACCGCCCA